CCUACGGGGGGCAGCAGUGGGGAAUAUUGCACAAUGGGGGAAACCCUGAUGCAGCGACGCCGCGUGAGUGAAGAAGUAUUUCGGUAUGUAAAGCUCUAUCAGCAGGGAAGAAAAUGACGGUACCUGAUUAAGAAGCCCCGGCUAACUACGUGCCAGCAGCCGCGGGAAUACGUAGGGGGCAAGCGUUAUCCGGAUUUACUGGGUGUAAAGGGAGCGUAGGGGGCAGCGCAAGUCUGAAGUGAAAUGCCGGGGCUUAACCCCGGAACUGCCUUGGAAACUGUGCAGCUAGAGUGCAGGAGAGGUAAGUGGAAUGCCUAGUGUAGCGGUGAAAUGCGUAGAUAUUAGGAGGAACUCCAGUGGCGAAGGCGGCUUACUGGACUGUAACUGACGUUGAGGCUCGAAAGCGUGGGGAGCAAACAGGAUUAGAUACCCUUGUAGUC
Molecule: ribosomal RNA, 440 nt
Filed under: uncultured bacterium
Lineage: Bacteria
Description: partial 16S ribosomal RNA
Rfam family: Bacterial small subunit ribosomal RNA
Source: RNAcentral